CACGCAGGCGGCUUGGUAAGUCAGAUGUGAAAGCCCGGGGCUUAACCCCGGAAGUGCAUUUGAUACUAUCGGGCUUGAGUAUGGGAGAGGGAAGUGGAAUUCCUGGUGUAGAGGUGAAAUUCGUAGAUAUCAGGAGGAACACCGGUGGCGAAGGCGACUUCCUGGACCAAUACUGACGCUGAGGUGCGAAGGCGUGGGGAGCAAACA
RNAcentral lists this ribosomal RNA (207 nucleotides) under uncultured bacterium. RNAcentral's name for it is "partial 16S ribosomal RNA". It matches the Rfam family "Bacterial small subunit ribosomal RNA", at positions 568 to 774 of the family's 1533-position model. The record is from RNAcentral.